This 579-nucleotide unclassified non-coding RNA is filed under the name Sedum nussbaumerianum. Its description in RNAcentral is "partial contains external transcribed spacer and 18S ribosomal RNA". The stretch from base 511 to 579 matches the Rfam family "Eukaryotic small subunit ribosomal RNA", at positions 1 to 71 of the family's 1831-position model. Lineage: Eukaryota; Viridiplantae; Streptophyta; Magnoliopsida; Saxifragales; Crassulaceae. The record is from RNAcentral.
GGCGGCCUUUUAGCCAUUUGUGUCGUUGGAUUUGAUUUCAAUAUGUUGCCGUGUGUUAUUACAAGUCAAAUCGAUGGCAUUUUGGUUAGAUCGACGCGUUGACGUGUGAGUGGCUAGUUGAAUGUUUGUGUUGGCUGGCUCCCUGCUUGUGCAGCGAACAGUUGGCGCAUACAUAUUUCAGGCGCGACGGAGACGUGUUGGAUUUUUGUGUUGCCAAUCCAUUUGAUGGAAUUCUUAUGGCCCUGAUGCGUAAGUUUCCCGAAAACCCCUUGAGGUGCUAGGGGGACAAUGAAGCUGCUCGGUUUUUGCCAUGCACUCCCAUUUCGGGAUCCAUGGAAAAAUGGUGGUAUUGCUUGUUGCCUCGGAUGCAGAGCAUGAAGCGAGCAUGAUGCCUGUCGUCAUCGCUCAUUCAGAGCUCUCGGUUGCUCGGAAAGAGAGACCGCCGUGCAUGGUUUCGGCUGCCGACUCGUCGAUCCGGCUUGAAACCUUGCCGACGUCUUCAAUGAAUGCUACCUGGUUGAUCCUGCCAGUAGUCAUAUGCUUGUCUCAAAGAUUAAGCCAUGCAGGGUUGUAAAGUAA